Long non-coding RNA from Anguilla rostrata (American eel), 1970 nucleotides. RefSeq lists it as uncharacterized. The transcript has 2 exons. NCBI's taxonomy places the organism in Eukaryota, Metazoa, Chordata, Actinopteri, Anguilliformes, Anguillidae. The record is from RefSeq and is a predicted model, not a curated record.
UAUAAGUAUUCACUGUCUCUGUCAUUUGUUGGUUCUUUGUUUAUCUGUACUUGGGUAACAGACCCACUAGUUCCUUUGCUACAUUAAACUACCUAUUUUGAAACGAAGACAUGCCUGCAUUUAUUUUUCUACUUACAAAAGUACGGCGGAAUAAAUUGAACUCUUAAAAAUUCCACAUUAUUAGCGAGCCAGCCCAAAUCCGUCGUUCUUGUUGCGUUUUUCAAAAAAAAAAAAAAAACUGGGGAGGCUGACAUUCGCGUGUGACACUGGCCUACGAGACUUUCUUUUUUACGUUGACGCUGAAUUCAAGAAAGGAUUACAGCAAGAGGAGGACAGUUUUGGAAGCCAUUUGCCAACGCUGAAGGAAAAACGGACUUGAAGGCACGGAACGGACCACGUACAUUUAACUAAUUGAGAUGAGGACGAGGCUCCCGGUAUUCUGGAACUGGGGGUCAGCACUAAGUGGGAUGUUCCUGUCAUAUUCAUAAACGACACACAAUGUGUCAAGGACGAUACAAGCAGUUGCAGUUGGAUUCACCAAAUGACAUCAGACAGAUGGAAAGACAAUGAAGCAUUGACAACAGAGGACACGUGGAAUGUGUCAAGCAGAUCUCCAUAUAGAUCACAUAUGAUUCAGAGUAGAAGACAGUUUCCAAGAAUACUGGCAUCAGUAGUAGGUAAACAAAUGUUCCCCAUCUGAACAGUGUAUGCUGGUGUAAACCAGAAACCAGGGUGUGAUUAACACCUUAUAUUACCAUAUGGAAAUCAUGGGGGGUGACUCAGAACACACCAGUGACACUGGUCCACCCUCUCCACCCUCUCCACUUCCUCUAAAGGGUGAACUUUCCUCUCUGUGGACAGUUCAUUAUAGUUAAUAGAUACAAUUGCAUAACAUGUAUGAGUGUAAUAUGAGUCAGCCAUUCCCUUACCAGUUCAAACCUUAACAAUAGUAAACAAUACUGAUCAAACAUGACAAUGACAUUAGCUCAAUCAUAAACAGCAUGCAUUAGGGUAAACGUCCCUAUUAAGCCCACCAAAUCCGCUUUUCAGACAUUUUUCAUGUAUACUGCCCCAAUUUAAGUGAGAACAUUUUAGUUAUAAUGAAAGUCUAAUCUCUCAUUUGAAGUGUCAAUAAUUCAUUUAUACCAAUUUCUAAUGUUUUUAUUGUUUAAUUGGUCAAAAUAUGUCAAAAGUCUUGCAUGGGCUUAAUGGGUACCUAACGUACCCUUUAAGCCCAUGGGUGUUCCAAAUAAGCCCACUUAAUGAUUUGUUGAUAAAAAAAUAUAUAUUAAAAAAAUCUUAACAAUACAAACUUGUUCUAUUCAAAUCUGUAAUCUCUUAGCUCUCAAUAGCUAUUUUCAUUUUGUCUCCACUCCUAUCCUAUGGCCUGUAAAUGGCAUUUGAACUAGGCAUGACCAGCCUUUUUGCUGUGUUGUCAGCACAGAAUAAGUUAAACUUACAACAUGUCUUCUUUGGAAUGUAGCCAAAAAUCUAUUUACGAACAAAAUCAAAACUGUAGUGGAAAUUGCUCUUCAAUACUUCAUCUUUCAAUAUGUGUUGUCAUUUUGUCUGUAUCUCUAUCCUAUGGUGUACUGUUAGCAUUUGAAAUUGGCCAAAAUUUCUGGUCCAGCCAGCUGGUUGAAAGUGCAGGUGUUUUUAUGAAGAUUUCUGAAGACCGACUGACUGAAUGAAAAACAAUUUCAAGUUCAAUACUAAUGUUCUAAGGAUAGUAAAUGAGUCAAUUUCAGGAUUUACAAUUAAACAAUAACUUUUCAAAUGUUAAUCACAUUUAGGAUAGUAGUUUGAAAACAUUGUAAAAACACAUUUUAAAACCAUUCAGUUCAUUGUGGAGUAACAUUAAAACAUACAGUUCAUUAUGAGGAGACAUCAGUCAUAACAUAUUGAAGCUCAUGUAUCAUUAGCCUAUAACUUAAACAAAAUAAACAAGAAAGAUGUCAACAUUUCUGCAA